UGGUAAUAAUUUUAGAAGAGGAAAACAUUUUGUCAGAAAGUAGCAGUCCAUUUCCACCUGUGUGGCAUGAUGCUGUGUACAAAGCACUACAUAGGUAUAGUGCGAGCUUUCCCAUACCUCUCUGCUCAUGUAUGCAUAACCAGAACCAGGAGGACCAUCUGUAAAGGAUGAGAAGGACUGAAGAGAUUUCUGGUGCAUGAAGUGCAAAUUGGUGUAAUGAAGGAGAAGAUACAUGGCCUGGAUGUGCAAAUUUCUAUGCUACAUAAUAUCCAAGGAACUGAAGACUUCUUGGAUAACUUCUUGCAAUCAUUGCCACGCUCACCACAGGGAAGGAUCAGUAAGGGAACUGGAGAGAGUAGAAACUGCAGAAGGUGACUGACAAUUUCUGACCCAAAGAGAGAAAUUAGGAGGCAAUCAACAUGGUUAAAAGUAACAAAUCCAUUAUCUGAUACUCAGUGAGUCAACUAUCAGGGAACCCAUUACUGAAGAAAUGGAAGAGAAAGCACCAUUGGACAUACCUCAUCCUUGCAGUAUGAAACAAGGAGCUACCAAGAUAGGUUCCUGAACCAUCCUAGGAAAAAAACUGGCAACUCAGUAUUAAGAAGAGUUGAUAGAGAAUUCAGAAAAGGACACACAGACCAUGGGACAGUGUCUCUCAAUAGAAAAGAGAUGAGAUGUAACUGCAGGAUCAUGAAAUCAUAUGGCAGGUCUUCGCUGGUGAUGAUAUACAUUGGAACCAGGGACUAGGCAUCAUGUGGAAUUACACUGAUUAUAGAAAACUUCAGGGAUCUUGGAAGGGAGCUGAAGAAGAUGAUAGUCCAAGUGAUCUUCUUGGCGACCCUACCGUCUAAUGAGUGAGAGAAGGCAAAAUGCAGAAAAUAUAGGUUAACUGUUGGUUAUGCACCUGGGAGUAAGGGUGAAGGCUCUGGUUUUGUGAAUUGGUGGGCCACAUUUCAGUCAGGCGGGGGAGGAGAGGAGAGGACUGUAGAAACAGGAUGUCCUGCAUCUCAGAGGUAAGAAGGCUAAAUUUUCAUUAGGAGAUUAGCUGGGGUAGUCAGGAUGUUAAAUUAGCAAAAGGAAGGAUGCUAAGAAGGCAAAUAUGAGUCAGUGUUGGUGUGUCAUGAACAAAUUGAACUGACAUGGCAAAGAAAGUGAAGAGAAGAAAUUUUUCAGUUGCUUAUACCAAUACUAGGAGUGUGGGUAAUAGGCAAGAGGAUUUGGAAAUUCUCACUGAUAAGAAAUUUGAUAUAAUUGGCAUUACUGAAACCUGGUGGGAUGAUUCACAUGAUUGGAAUGUUAAUGUUACAGGUUAUAUAACCUGUUCAGGAGGCACACUGAGAUGGUAAAAGAAGUGGGGGGCAUUCUACAUUAAAGAUGCCAUUAUUUGUUUUUGAUUUAUUGAUUACUGAGAACUGCAGGAUCUCAACUGCAUGUGGAUCAAUGUGUUAACUAACAAAGCUAAGGAGAGAGCUGUGGUGGGGUCUGUUAGGAUGUGUCUACACAGCAAACAGCAGCCCACAAAGUGAUUCUCGGAGCCCAGGUCAAUAGACUUGAGCUUGGAAGGCUCAUGCUAUGGUGCUAAAACUAGCUGUGUAUACAUUUAGUGUCUGAAGCUUAGGGAGCAGGUGGGCUUCAAAGCCUGAGCUCCAGCCUGAGCCCUGCCAUCUACACAGCUGUUUUUAGUGCCGUAAUGUGAGCCUGAGUCUGUGGACCUAGGAUUUGAGAUUCACUGCUGCUCACAGUGUAGACUCACCUUCACAGACCACCAAAUAAAACUACACAACAGGGUGAACUACUCCUUAAGCACCUCUCUGUAAUGAAUGUGUGUGGGGGGAAUUGCAGUGUUGGGAAAACUUCAGUGUUGGAGACGUAUGGUGGGGAUCUCAUGGAGCCAGUAGUAAAACAUCAUUAGAGUUGCUAAAAAUCUUAUAUGAUGAUGAUCUUCUAAAACAAAAUGUCUUAAUACAACCAAAUGCAAAAUUAUACAUCUAAGAACAAGGAAUGUAGGCCAUACCUACAGAAUGGGGGACUGUAAUGUAAAGGCCUGAGAUAUAUGGGAAGGUUAGACCAGAUGGUCUAAGAGGCCCCUUUGGCCCUAAACUCUAUUAAUCUGAGCAUGGGACCCAGUUCUCCUCUCCUACCGGUUUUAGAUCAGUGUAACUCCAUUGGCUUCUGUAGAAUUACUCCUGAUUUACACCAGUGUAAGUGAAAAGAGAA
Chelonoidis abingdonii (Abingdon island giant tortoise) is the source of this 2217-nucleotide long non-coding RNA. RefSeq lists it as uncharacterized. Lineage: Eukaryota; Metazoa; Chordata; Testudines; Testudinidae. The record is from RefSeq and is a predicted model, not a curated record.